AUCAUUUUCUAAUGUGGAUUCUUAACACGACUUCCACGUCUAAAUCUUUUUAAAUGGAACAUGAAUAAUAUAAAAUAGGAUUCAAUAUUAGUGAAUGAAAAAAAUUAGAUGGAAAUAUAACGAGGACGAAAUAUCUGUGAACAAAUAAUUAAGAUGAACUAGCUUUGAUACUAAAUUGAUAUUGGGUCUAUUAUUAUCCAAGUUCUUUUAUCAAUUGCCCAUCUCUUUUCUAAAUGUAGGAUUCUUAAUCGGAUGGGCAAUUAAUCUCUCUAUAGACUUGGACAAUACUUAUGGUGAUUUUUGAGGUUGAGUUAGGUCAAAAAUAUAUUUCUCGACAUGGUACCAUAUGGGCAACUUGAUUUUGCAUGCUAUCUGUUUGAAGAUGGCCUUAAGUUAGUUCUGAAGUUUAUUUACUAGACCAAUUUUCAUGCCUGGUUCACUUUUUGAUGAAAAGCUUGGAACAAAAAAGAAUCUGAUCGUUGGAGAAAAGCGAAGAAGAUGGCAUUGAUGAAGCAGAUGAUGAUAACUAUAAGGAAGAACAUGAGGAGGAACGG
Long non-coding RNA from Capsicum annuum, 554 nucleotides. RefSeq lists it as uncharacterized. The transcript is spliced from 2 exons. The record is from RefSeq and is a predicted model, not a curated record. Lineage: Eukaryota; Viridiplantae; Streptophyta; Magnoliopsida; Solanales; Solanaceae.